RNAcentral lists this long non-coding RNA (1243 nucleotides) under Cairina moschata (Muscovy duck). RNAcentral describes it as "domestica (muscovy Duck (domestic type)) lncRNA (ENSCMMG00000016648.1)". The record is from RNAcentral. Lineage: Eukaryota; Metazoa; Chordata; Aves; Anseriformes; Anatidae.
GAGAAUGUGCCAAAGCACCCAGAGAGACCUAGGGGUAGGGACAGGCUACCUCCACCUCAAUCCUGACCUCCUUGGGGUUGAAAGGAAUGGGAGAAAAGACACUUGAAGGAAGGAACUAUGACAUCCCUCUGUUCUUCCUUGCAAAAUGGAUCUGUUGUCCCUGGACAUGGAGCAGAAUGAAUCGUCUGAAGAAGCUGGAUCACCCCUUUCAGCCAUCCCUCUAUCUUCCAGGGACUUCUCACGUCUUACCAUAAGAGCAUUCAGGUCCAUUUUUGUGGAGAAGCACAUGUAACACAAUAACAGAAACUGAACACUCACUAUUUAAAUGUGACUAUUGGCUGCACACAACUAUAUGCAAAUUUUGUUUUCUGGAUGGAAUUCAGUGUGUGGUUCAGAUUUUUUGCCUUCCUCAAAGGUGUGAAGGUUUCAGAGUUCGCAGGAUCACCAUCUUGCUGUCUGCAGUUCACAGAGUUGAUGUGAAGUUCUGGGAACCCCAUUCUCAUGGCACAAGCCAAGCUCCUCUUCUCAGGAGAGAUACAGGUGCUGCAUCAAGCUAACAUAGCCUUGGCUUGAUAUAUUUCCAGUUAGCUUUGAUGCUGAAGAAAAUGAACUAUAAAUUAUGCUUCUGGCUGAUGGAGAUGGGCUCUGAGGCUCCAUGGAUGCAGACCUUCACGAGACAACUGUUCAGAAGACCUAAAAAUAAACACUCAAGUUCAAAUCCUGAAGUUCUUUGCUUUCUUCUUGCCUUGCUCAAAGAGAUCUCCAGGGCAUCUGUAGGUGCUGCUCCAGCAUACAUGAUGAACAAUCUGAAUGAUGAAGAAGAUAAGCAGGAAAUAUUUCCACAUCAGAGAAAAUGUCUGACUUGUUAGAUUGUCAUUUAAAGAAAUUUCCAUAUAGAAAACAAACUUUCACAGGGCAGAACUGCACUCAGCAAUGCAGUCUGUCUUCUGCAGAAUGUUCUCUUCACAUCAGCUACAGUGGGGAGCCUAGGGAAAAGCACUGGUUCCUCUUUUAAUAUACUGAAAAUAUUUCUUGAACGUUGCUUCAACCAUUAUUGAAACUGCAACUGUUUCUCCACCCCUUCCCUGCAUGUGCUCUCUUUCCCCAAAACUGGGCUGAGGAGUGGAGUUAUUAGAGCCUUUAGGAAAUAAAUAAAUAAAUAAAGCAAACCACCACCACCAAAAAAAAAAAAAAAAAAAAAAAAAAAAAAAAAAAAAGGCCAGAAAUGGGCCUUUACACUUGC